Molecule: ribosomal RNA, 2787 nt
Filed under: Escherichia coli
Lineage: Bacteria; Pseudomonadati; Pseudomonadota; Gammaproteobacteria; Enterobacterales; Enterobacteriaceae
Description: bacterial LSU rRNA
Rfam family: Bacterial large subunit ribosomal RNA
Source: RNAcentral
AGCGUACACGGUGGAUGCCCUGGCAGUCAGAGGCGAUGAAGGACGUGCUAAUCUGCGAUAAGCGUCGGUAAGGUGAUAUGAACCGUUAUAACCGGCGAUUUCCGAAUGGGGAAACCCAGUGUGUUUCGACACACUAUCAUUAACUGAAUCCAUAGGUUAAUGAGGCGAACCGGGGGAACUGAAACAUCUAAGUACCCCGAGGAAAAGAAAUCAACCGAGAUUCCCCCAGUAGCGGCGAGCGAACGGGGAGCAGCCCAGAGCCUGAAUCAGUGUGUGUGUUAGUGGAAGCGUCUGGAAAGGCGCGCGAUACAGGGUGACAGCCCCGUACACAAAAAUGCACAUGCUGUGAGCUCGAUGAGUAGGGCGGGACACGUGGUAUCCUGUCUGAAUAUGGGGGGACCAUCCUCCAAGGCUAAAUACUCCUGACUGACCGAUAGUGAACCAGUACCGUGAGGGAAAGGCGAAAAGAACCCCGGCGAGGGGAGUGAAAAAGAACCUGAAACCGUGUACGUACAAGCAGUGGGAGCACGCUUCGGCGUGUGACUGCGUACCUUUUGUAUAAUGGGUCAGCGACUUAUAUUCUGUAGCAAGGUUAACCGAAUAGGGGAGCCGAAGGGAAACCGAGUCUUAACUGGGCGUUAAGUUGCAGGGUAUAGACCCGAAACCCGGUGAUCUAGCCAUGGGCAGGUUGAAGGUUGGGUAACACUAACUGGAGGACCGAACCGACUAAUGUUGAAAAAUUAGCGGAUGACUUGUGGCUGGGGGUGAAAGGCCAAUCAAACCGGGAGAUAGCUGGUUCUCCCCGAAAGCUAUUUAGGUAGCGCCUCGUGAAUUCAUCUCCGGGGGUAGAGCACUGUUUCGGCAAGGGGGUCAUCCCGACUUACCAACCCGAUGCAAACUGCGAAUACCGGAGAAUGUUAUCACGGGAGACACACGGCGGGUGCUAACGUCCGUCGUGAAGAGGGAAACAACCCAGACCGCCAGCUAAGGUCCCAAAGUCAUGGUUAAGUGGGAAACGAUGUGGGAAGGCCCAGACAGCCAGGAUGUUGGCUUAGAAGCAGCCAUCAUUUAAAGAAAGCGUAAUAGCUCACUGGUCGAGUCGGCCUGCGCGGAAGAUGUAACGGGGCUAAACCAUGCACCGAAGCUGCGGCAGCGACGCUUAUGCGUUGUUGGGUAGGGGAGCGUUCUGUAAGCCUGUGAAGGUGUGCUGUGAGGCAUGCUGGAGGUAUCAGAAGUGCGAAUGCUGACAUAAGUAACGAUAAAGCGGGUGAAAAGCCCGCUCGCCGGAAGACCAAGGGUUCCUGUCCAACGUUAAUCGGGGCAGGGUGAGUCGACCCCUAAGGCGAGGCCGAAAGGCGUAGUCGAUGGGAAACAGGUUAAUAUUCCUGUACUUGGUGUUACUGCGAAGGGGGGACGGAGAAGGCUAUGUUGGCCGGGCGACGGUUGUCCCGGUUUAAGCGUGUAGGCUGGUUUUCCAGGCAAAUCCGGAAAAUCAAGGCUGAGGCGUGAUGACGAGGCACUACGGUGCUGAAGCAACAAAUGCCCUGCUUCCAGGAAAAGCCUCUAAGCAUCAGGUAACAUCAAAUCGUACCCCAAACCGACACAGGUGGUCAGGUAGAGAAUACCAAGGCGCUUGAGAGAACUCGGGUGAAGGAACUAGGCAAAAUGGUGCCGUAACUUCGGGAGAAGGCACGCUGAUAUGUAGGUGAAGUCCCUUGCGGAUGGAGCUGAAAUCAGUCGAAGAUACCAGCUGGCUGCAACUGUUUAUUAAAAACACAGCACUGUGCAAACACGAAAGUGGACGUAUACGGUGUGACGCCUGCCCGGUGCCGGAAGGUUAAUUGAUGGGGUCAGCGCAAGCGAAGCUCUUGAUCGAAGCCCCGGUAAACGGCGGCCGUAACUAUAACGGUCCUAAGGUAGCGAAAUUCCUUGUCGGGUAAGUUCCGACCUGCACGAAUGGCGUAAUGAUGGCCAGGCUGUCUCCACCCGAGACUCAGUGAAAUUGAACUCGCUGUGAAGAUGCAGUGUACCCGCGGCAAGACGGAAAGACCCCGUGAACCUUUACUAUAGCUUGACACUGAACAUUGAGCCUUGAUGUGUAGGAUAGGUGGGAGGCUUUGAAGUGUGGACGCCAGUCUGCAUGGAGCCGACCUUGAAAUACCACCCUUUAAUGUUUGAUGUUCUAACGUUGACCCGUGAUCCGGGUUGCGGACAGUGUCUGGUGGGUAGUUUGACUGGGGCGGUCUCCUCCUAAAGAGUAACGGAGGAGCACGAAGGUUGGCUAAUCCUGGUCGGACAUCAGGAGGUUAGUGCAAUGGCAUAAGCCAGCUUGACUGCGAGCGUGACGGCGCGAGCAGGUGCGAAAGCAGGUCAUAGUGAUCCGGUGGUUCUGAAUGGAAGGGCCAUCGCUCAACGGAUAAAAGGUACUCCGGGGAUAACAGGCUGAUACCGCCCAAGAGUUCAUAUCGACGGCGGUGUUUGGCACCUCGAUGUCGGCUCAUCACAUCCUGGGGCUGAAGUAGGUCCCAAGGGUAUGGCUGUUCGCCAUUUAAAGUGGUACGCGAGCUGGGUUUAGAACGUCGUGAGACAGUUCGGUCCCUAUCUGCCGUGGGCGCUGGAGAACUGAGGGGGGCUGCUCCUAGUACGAGAGGACCGGAGUGGACGCAUCACUGGUGUUCGGGUUGUCAUGCCAAUGGCACUGCCCGGUAGCUAAAUGCGGAAGAGAUAAGUGCUGAAAGCAUCUAAGCACGAAACUUGCCCCGAGAUGAGUUCUCCCUGACUCCUUGA